Molecule: long non-coding RNA, 1330 nt
Filed under: Homo sapiens (human)
Lineage: Eukaryota; Metazoa; Chordata; Mammalia; Primates; Hominidae
Description: HSALNT0104365
Rfam family: Y RNA (bases 965-1066)
Source: RNAcentral
CUGGCUUGUUCCUUCCGGGACAGACAACGCGUGGUUUUUCUCCCAAUACACUCCCUCAACCGCGCACAGCGUUACUGCAAUGAGACCAGUGACCAGAUUUGCAGACCUGUUUCCAGAUCUCAGCCGCCUCUGCCUUUCAGAAGCACUUGCCCCAGUAGAAACGCUCAGAUCACAAAUUCUCUUAGACGUUUCAGCUAUAUAAUCUCCUUCUCCUCCCUUCGACUCAAAGCCAGGUCCCCCCUUUCACCCCCUUAUAUCCUCUAAGUGUCUGAGGUCUCCCAGGGCCCCCUCUCUAUUCAGUUCCUGGGUAAUCACAGGGCCAACGAGGCGGCUCCCCAUGGUUCAUUACAACACCAAGCUCUCUCCAGACUCCCUUUUCCAGCCUGUUUUAGGACAUCUGUACCUCUGGGACCAUAGUCCCCUUCAAUAUGACAGAUCUACAAGGACUCUCUACACGUCUCCCACCACAUCAUCCUCUCUUCCUCCUCAGUUUCUCUUAAGAACUUCACCAUCCUUGGUCCCUUCUGAUUUCCUCUUUCUCCUUCAUCUCCGGGAGUCAAAGUCAGCUCCUUCAACGCUAUUUCAAUCCCACAGCCAUAGUCUUAGUCUAGGCUUUCCCCUCCCUUCAGUCUGGAUUACUGCACAGGCUUCCUAAACACUGUGCCUGCCUCAGUUACAACCAGAGUGCUCCAAGCCACCCACAGCGCCCCAUCUGCUGAAUGUCACACAUGGUGGAUGCUUCUACUCUACCAUGGAAACCAUAGCUCCCACAAUCUAUUGUCUGGCACCACCCCCAUUUCUCUGGUGACAUUUCCCCAGGGUUGCAGUAAACGUGGGCUCUGGGAUCUCCUCACCCUAUCCCACCAGGAUGCCACUGCCUAAGCAGUCUCCCUCUUCCAGGUUACUGUCACCUCUGCCUUGGAACCCAUCAGACCACAGCAUAUCCUCAAAAUCUUCCCAGUUAGGCUGGUCUGAGUGCAGUGGUGUUUACAACUAAUUGAUCACAACCAGUUAUAGAUGUUUUUGUUUCAUCUUCACUCCCACUGUUUCACUUGACUAGCCUUUAAAAAAAAAAAAAAAGGAAAAAGGGUCCGGGCACGGUGGCUCACGCCUGUAAUCCCAGCACUUUGGGAGGUCGAGGUGGGCAGAUCACGAGGUCAGGAGAUCGAGAGCAUCCUGCUAACACAGUGAAACCCCGUCUCUACUAAAAAUACAAAAAACUUAGCUGGGCGUGGUGGCGGGUACCUGUAGUCCCAGCUGCUCAGAAGGCUGAGGCAGGAGAAUGGGGUCAACCCGGGAGGCGGAGCUUGCAGUGAGCUGAGAUUGCGCC